Long non-coding RNA from Gadus morhua (Atlantic cod), 1845 nucleotides. Lineage: Eukaryota; Metazoa; Chordata; Actinopteri; Gadiformes; Gadidae. The record is from Ensembl.
GUCUCCACGGUGACCAGCUCAUUUCCAGGGGAUCCCCUGCCAAGAGGCGGACCUCGACGACAGCGUUAUUACGCUUCCAGCGUAACAGGCCAACUCUGCUCGCUAUUUCAUUUUUCUUUAAGUGUUUUGAUAAUUUACUUACAUAACAGUGUUGCGUUCUCUACAUCAGCAGCUGCUGUACAUUUAUAAUGGGUAUAAUAUCGAUAAUGGCCACUUAGCUGACUUAAUAACUCUUUCUCCCCCCCCGGUGGGUUUGUUGUUUAUCGGUACUACCUAGCUAUGUGUUUCAGCGGGCAUGCAUGGCUCGGUUUUAGGUGGGUGUCUACGUAGAUGCAUAGGCUUCCUAGAAGUGGGGUUUAUUUCAGGAAGAUGCACUUGCUUGGAACCCCCCACAACCCUCAGCCCCUUUAAUAACCUCCCUAAUGACACCACCCUCAUCAGACUACAUACGGCAGAGGGGAGGAUGUGCAGUUCCAGGAUGUCUCCCACACACACCUCUCAAAGCCGGAAAUAAUAGUAUUACAACCGCAGUCAGAUCUCCUCUCUGGAAAUUGUAUGCCCUUCCCCCAUAGAUGAAGUGUUUCUAUUUGUUUGGUUGGAUUUAUUUUUUCGAGUGUCGGAGUUACUUAUUUUCCCUCUCAUGGCUAUACGUGAGAAAAUAACAUUUUCCUCAACACUUUUAAUUAGCAUGCGUCCAUGUCUACAACACAUAAAAAAAGUAUCGACCUUUUGAUACGUUAAACAGUUUGCCACGGAUGUUGUUGCAGCUGCGGAAUAAACCGUUUGUAUUUAUUUAACAAUUUAAAAGUGCUUACAGAGGCGAUCUCAAACAAACACAGGCCUCUGCAUUGAAACUAUUUAUUAUUUCCCGCUGUAAGGUUGAGGAAAAACCGUAUUGAUGGGGGAAGGGAUGCACACACUAGUUAUUAAUGAAAGACCUUAAAAGCUUGUUUUGCUGUUGUUUAAAGCGAUUCAUGUUAAAUUGGCCCUGAGCCAAUUAAGCACUAAAGAGGUUCAGCUGUGCCUGGUAAAUGUCCAAUAAUGCCGUGCUGCGUAUCAGGUCUACAGAAUCCCAGAGCCACCUAUGACCCUCACAAACUUACCCCCGGAGACGAGCUACAUCAUGUAGACGUGGAGCCAGGCGAGGCUGCAGAGGUGGGAUGGUGAACAUGCUGGGAAUCCAGAAUGUUCCAUCGGACGGCCUUCCUUUGGUUUGCUGUGGACUCCACAAACAAGCGCUGAUCGUCUAGAUGCACUUCACUGCAGAAGCCCUGAAGAGUGGAGGAUGACCUUCAGAGCUGUGUGCAGGGGAGAGCCAUCAGAAUAAAUUAGGCUGGCAGAAGAAGUGAAAAGCUUGUGGCUCACAUUGGACAGGGGGCUGGUGAGGAGGAGAUGCAGGGGGUGAUGCACAAGCACCCGAUGAAGUAUGCAGGCCUCUGGGGGGGCCGGAGAACCACUGAGACCCCUUGAUUGACAAUGAGACUCCUUGAUUGACACUUGAGACCCCCUGACAGCCGCAAUAGCAAAAUGUCACUGGGGGUCCUAAUGUCCAAUAUUCAUUUUUCAAAUUGCAAAACAUGGAUUCACAAACAUAAAUAGGCUCCAGAAAAACAUUAUUGUGGUGCUCGAUCUGAAUCAUUCAUUGAAUCCCAGAAAGGCCUUCUUCCAGUUGCAAAUGCUCCGCAAUCCAAAUGUUGUGCGAUUUAGAAAACCUGAACAGAUAAACAGCAGCACAGCAGCAUUCUGGAAGCAGACUACCGACAGCAAGUAGAUUGUGUGGAGAGGAUGACCCAGUCUUUAGAAGUUCCAUCUGAACGCUGUCUCCUCCUACCUUUGUACCCCCCC